Molecule: ribosomal RNA, 468 nt
Filed under: uncultured bacterium
Lineage: Bacteria
Description: partial 16S ribosomal RNA
Rfam family: Bacterial small subunit ribosomal RNA
Source: RNAcentral
GACGAACGCUGGCGGCGUGCUUAACACAUGCAAGUCGAACGGAAAGGCCCUGCUUUUGUGGGGUGCUCGAGUGGCGAACGGGUGAGUAACACGUGAGUAACCUGCCCUUGACUUUGGGAUAACUUCAGGAAACUGGGGCUAAUACCGGAUAGGAGCUCCUGCUGCAUGGUGGGGGUUGGAAAGUUUCGGCGGUUGGGGAUGGACUCGCGUCUUAUCAGCUUGUUGGUGGGGUAGUGGCUUACCAAGGCUUUGACGGGUAGCCGGCCUGAGAGGGUGACCGGCAACAUUGGGACUGAGAUACGGCCCCGACUCAUACGGGAGGCAGCAGUGGGGAAUAUUGAAAAAUGGGCGGAAGCCUGAUGCAGAAACGCCGCGUGCGGGAUGACGGCCUUCGGGUUGUAAACCGAUUUCGCCUGUGACGAAGCGUGAGUGACGGUAAUGGGUAAAGAAGCACCGGCUAACUACGUG